This is a long non-coding RNA of Syngnathus acus (greater pipefish), 1141 nucleotides long. RefSeq lists it as uncharacterized. The transcript is spliced from 2 exons. The record is from RefSeq and is a predicted model, not a curated record. Lineage: Eukaryota; Metazoa; Chordata; Actinopteri; Syngnathiformes; Syngnathidae.
UCCGAGUGAUGAUUUAACGUGUGCAUGUAUGUGCGAGUGUUUUUGUGUGGGUAGACUCCGUGGACGCGUGGAAAGAGCGAGUCAAGUUACUGCACGUCACAGGCUCCCAGCAAUAAGAGCGAGCACAGGCUGACGAGCAAUAAGGAGGCGCUUUACACCACUGAGCCGGACUCGUCUUUUUGAGAGGCAGGAAAAAAGACGUGUGCCUCACCGCGGUGCAAAACACUGACAGCAAAAUGUAACAAACAGUGCGGAACGAUGGGAGGUAGUAGCCGAAGAGAGAGGACAGAGAACGGGCCACUGCAGGAAUGUCUGCUCGCCUGUCAUCGACUUCACAUUAAACCGGUGAAUGCAGUCACAGCACCUGACCACUAGACGGCAGCAGAGCGCAUGGGUCUGAGUAUUUAUUGCCACAUCUUGAAUGUGCCCUCUUCACCUUUAACCUUAUAAAUCCCCAAUAUCAAAAUCAAUACCGGAGUUGACUUGACCUCCCUCUCUCCAUCAUUUUUAUGUUGUCAGAUUGAAUGAGAGAAUGUGCUCCAGAAAAUGUAUGGAUAAAAGGAAUGUUUAUUUAUAAUCAGAUGCAAAAGUAUAAUUUUAAAAAAAGUACAGCUUUAACUAAGUGGUUAAGAAGCAAAUUGACUACAUUUCUUUUUUGAUAAACUUCCAAGUUAUUUACUUUAAAUGCUCAUUCCAACACAAAUAUAUAUCUUUAUUGACUACAAGUAGUGCCAUAUUAUGUCUCCAACACUGAUUUUAACCACCGAUCUGCUUAUUGUUCUGGCCGAGUGCGCAGAUGUAACACAUCUUAAAACUAACAAAGAAUAAAUUAAUCUAUCUUUUUUGGGGGCAUUUCUGUAUUUACAAUGGCUAUCUUGUUUACAGCCUCUCCAGGAUUAAAGUCAGUGCUGGUAGUCAGGAUGUGACUCGUGAUGUCAUUCCCUGGAAUGUGGAUUUUUUUUAUACAAUAAUCCGGACAAUUGUUACACAUUGAAGAUGUUUGUAGUAUUGCUAUUUUUAGAUCUUUAGAGACACAGGAUGUGGUGGAAUUUGUGUGUAGGAGUCAGUUUUGUUUUUGAAAAUCAAUUUCAAGAUGAUAGAUGAUUGGGUUAGGAGUGAUUUCAUGGUUAAACAAUAACAA